UUGACAUAUAGGUCCUGAGAGGGGACAGAGGAGAGGUUCUCACAUCCCUCUGGUAGGCCGGCGUCAGUGGAGGGGAAGGGGACAACAGAAAUGGUGAUGGGGUGGUGGUGGUGAUCAUUUGAGUAUUUGUUGGCACUUUGGAUGGUCGGCUGGAUAAUGUCGGCAUUGGCAGGUGUGGUUAGGAGCGUCACCUUGACGCCUUGACGGUUGAAGAGCUUGGCAAUAUCGAUCAUGGGGCUCAUGUGGCCUGGGGCCAUGAAGGGGAAGAUGAGGAUGUGGAGGGGCUGAGUUUCUAAGCCCAUGGUCGGGCGAAGU
RNAcentral lists this unclassified non-coding RNA (315 nucleotides) under Hevea brasiliensis (rubber tree). Lineage: Eukaryota; Viridiplantae; Streptophyta; Magnoliopsida; Malpighiales; Euphorbiaceae. The record is from RNAcentral.